CCCUUAGAGUUUGAUCCUGGCUCAGAACGAACGUUGAUGGCGUGCCUCAUACAUGCAAGUCGAGCGGGGUAGCAAUACCCAGCGGCGGACGGGUGAGUAACACGUAAACAAUCUGCCCUGAAGCGGGGAAUAACUAUCCCAACGGAUAGCUAAUACCGCAUAAUGAUGGAGACGGCAUCGUCUCUUCUCAAAAGGCUUCGGCCACUUCAGGAUGAGUUUGCGUCCCAUUAGCUUGUUGGCGGUGUAACGGACCACCAAGGCAACGAUGGGUAUCCGGCCUGAGGGGGUGUACGGACACAUUGGGACUGAGAUACGGCCCAGACUCCUACGGGAGGCAGCAGUAGGGAAUUUUGCGCAAUGGGGGAAACCCUGACGCAGCAACGCCAUGUGUGGGAUGAAGCACUUCGGUGUGUAAACCACUGUCAGCGGGGAAUAAAUGGCCUCUUCGGAGGCAGUUGAAUGUACCCGCAAAGGAAGCCCCGGCUAACUUCGUGCCAGCAGCCGCGGUAAUACGAGGGGGGCAAAUGUUGUUCGGAAUCACUGGGCGUAAAGGGAGCGUAGGCGGGCUCUUAAGUUAGGUGUUUAAUCCCGGGGCCCAACCCCGGACAGGCACUUAAAACUGGGAGUCUUGAU
RNAcentral lists this ribosomal RNA (633 nucleotides) under uncultured bacterium. RNAcentral's name for it is "bacterial SSU rRNA". It matches the Rfam family "Bacterial small subunit ribosomal RNA", at positions 1 to 646 of the family's 1533-position model. The record is from RNAcentral.